CCUACGGGAGGCAGCAGUGAGGAAUAUUGGUCAAUGGGCGCGAGCCUGAACCAGCCAAGUAGCGUGAAGGAUGACUGCCCUACGGGUUGUAAACUUCUUUUAUAAAGGAAUAAAGUGAGGCACGUGUGCCAUUUUGUAUGUACUUUAUGAAUAAGGAUCGGCUAACUCCGUGCCAGCAGCCGCGGUAAUACGGAGGAUACGAGCGUUAUCCGGAUUUUUUGGGUUUAAAGGGGGCGUAGGCGUGGAGGUAAGUCAUCUGUGAAAUGCCCCCGCUCAACGGGGUGAAGUGCCAUUGAUACUGGCUGGCUGGAGUGCGGAUGCGGUGGGAGGAAUGUGUGGUGUAGCGGUGAAAUGCAUAGAUAUCACGCAGAACACCGAUUGCGAAGGCAGCUCAC
Molecule: ribosomal RNA, 395 nt
Filed under: uncultured bacterium
Lineage: Bacteria
Description: partial 16S ribosomal RNA
Rfam family: Bacterial small subunit ribosomal RNA
Source: RNAcentral